UUUGACUAUGUAGACGGAGUCUUGUCGAGGCUACCUAUUUUCUCAUCUUUUAAAUUAUUUUUUAUUGAUUGUGUAUACACGGUCUAACCUUCAUUUUUUUUAUUAUGUUGACACGGUGUAGUCGAGGUUAAGUAUUUUCACAUUUUUAAAUUAUUUUUAUUUUAUUAGUUAGACACGGCUAGACCGCCACUACUUACUUUAUUAAUUUUCCCAAUUUUUC
This 220-nucleotide long non-coding RNA is filed under the name Lathyrus oleraceus (garden pea). RNAcentral's name for it is "Pisum sativum (pea) long non-coding RNA (PSAT_LNC035381)". The record is from RNAcentral. Lineage: Eukaryota; Viridiplantae; Streptophyta; Magnoliopsida; Fabales; Fabaceae.